UACAGAGACUGCAAGCGUUGUUCGGAUUCAUUGGGCGUAAAGGGUCCGCAGGCGGUCGUGUAAGUCGGAUGUGAAAUCUCGAGGCCUAACCUCGAUAGGUCAUUCGAAACUACACGGCUAGAGGACUGGAGAGGAGACUGGAAUAGUUGGUGUAGCAGUGAAAUGCGUAGAUAUCAACUAGAACACCAGUAGCGAAGGCGAGUCUCUGGACAGUUCCUGACGCUCAUGGACGAAAGCCAGGGGAG
RNAcentral lists this ribosomal RNA (245 nucleotides) under uncultured bacterium. Its description in RNAcentral is "partial 16S ribosomal RNA". It matches the Rfam family "Bacterial small subunit ribosomal RNA", at positions 524 to 768 of the family's 1533-position model. The record is from RNAcentral.